Molecule: unclassified non-coding RNA, 2606 nt
Filed under: Hevea brasiliensis (rubber tree)
Lineage: Eukaryota; Viridiplantae; Streptophyta; Magnoliopsida; Malpighiales; Euphorbiaceae
Source: RNAcentral
UUUUUAUCAUAAAUAAGUCUCUCAUUUCAAACUAGAUGUCCCAAAGUUGAUUUAACUCUAUAAAGUGUUAUACAAACAACUAAAAGUAAUAUGAAAACAUAAACUUCUUAAACACAUGCCAUUAAAAUUUUCAUUAUGCGAAUUUCAAAUCUGCCACUGAACAAAGCCUUCGCCUAUAAUGCCAACUGUUGAUGAAUCAACAAUUUCUUCAGAUAAUAGUGCUUGGCUAAAUCUGACCAAAAAAAAAAGUAAAUUAAUUUUUCAUUUUUUAGAUUAAUAACACAAAAUAUAACUUUUAUUUGAGAAAUAAUAAUAUGCAAGCAUAAAAUUGUCAAGUUACUGAUACCAUGUCAGGAGGUUCCAUUUCACCCAUGCUCUGCAUUGCAAGUUAGUGAUAUGUUCAAAGUUUUCUGUUGAAUAAAAAAUAAAAUUACGUUCCAAGUUUUCAGUUGAAGGAAAAAAAUAAAGUUGCUUCCAGACCAUGCACCUAUGUAAUUGAAAUUAGAAUACAGCAGAAUACGGGCGUGCAACUACAACUGCAAGAUGUGAAGCAAACUUUUGAUUCAAUAAAUCACAAAACCUCAUUUAUUCAAUAAUGGGUGCGUGCAACCACAACCGGAAGAUGUAAAACAAACUUCAUGGAGUCACUGACAGUGGCAUUUAAUUCUAAUUUUAACAAUCCAAUACAAUUUUCUUUGCUAUUUGGUUUGCAAGAGAAGCAAAUCAAUAAUUACUGUGUGCAGAACAGUGACAGCGAAAAAUAAUCAAUAAGACUCGCAAGUUUAGAUUUAUUUUCCAUUAUGUGUGCAGGCAAUGUGUUUUUGCAGUAACAGAGCAUUCUGAAUAAAUCCUAGAUUGCUAUUUAGUUCAAAUAAGAAAAGCACCGUAAAGCAAAUAUCAAUCAUGUAUGUGGUGUGGAAAGUAUCAAAUAUCAAUCAAGGGCAACAGACCAGAUACAGAGUGAAGAGCAUUAGAGCAAUUUCCACAAAAAAAAUGCCAUUAGCACUCCAUUUCUACAUCAUCAACUGAAAUCAAUUAGUCACUCGCGUGUGUCUGUCUAUGUAGACAAGGAAAGAUUUAACAGCAAAUUGCUUUUUGGACUUCCAGUUGCUUAGAAAAUGAAAAACCAUGUACCCCAGCAUUAUAAGGGCACAGUAUAAAAAAAAAAUCCCAAAGUUCCAGGGUUUUAAAAUGGGUUUUACCAUUAGGAAUUGAAUAUAGAGCUUAACAAUUCAAGUAUUUUCACUACAUACCAUACCAUAAUAAAGAAAACAAGAAGAAAUCCGUUUAGGAAACUCAGACUAACUACAAAAUCAAUAUUAUCAAUGGAAAGCUGCAAGAAUUCUUGACAAUACUUGCUUACAAAAAGAAUAAUCAACACUGCUCCCAUAGCCUGUUAACUAAUUCCUGCAGAUAUAUUACUUACAAAAUAAGAAUACUAACAACACUUGAUUCAAGAAUACUAAAUUGUUAAUAACACUCGCAACAAAAUUAUAUAUAAUACAGUAUUUAAUUAUUGCUUAUUAUGAAUACAAUAUUCAAGCCUGCAUUUUCAAAUGGUCUUCCACAAGAUGUUUACGUAGAUCAACCACAGUGCUUUAUAAUCCCAGGACAUGAUGAGAAAGUUUACAAGUUGCGAAAAAAGCACUCAAUGGUCUUAAAACAAGCACCAAGAUCCUGGUAUGGUAGAAUAGAUGAUUAUCUCUUGCAGCAAGAUUUUAGAAAAAGUCAGAGUGAAGCUACAUUAUAUGUCAAGGUAGCUGGAGAGAAUUUAGAUAAUCUCACUUUGUUUUGAUGAUUUACUUAUGAAAGGUAGCAAUUCAGAUAUGAUUGAGAAGUUCAGAAUCCAGAUGGAGGAGGAGUUUGAAAUGACAGACCUAGGAUUGGUCUCCUUUCCUAGGAAUGGAUACAAGGCAAGAGAAAAAUGGAAUCUUCAUUUGUCAAAGGAAAUUCGCUCAAGAAAUUUCACAUGGAAAAUUGCAAACCAGUCGAUAAACCACUUAUGCUGAACAAAAAAUUAUCAAACGAAGAUGGGACUGCUCAAGUAGAAGGCAAACUCUACAGAAGCCUUAUUGGGAGUUUAUUAUACUUAACUACUACUCGACCAGCUUUAAUGUACCCUGCAAGCCUACUUUCUAGAUUUAUGAGCAGCAAAACAGUAAGUUUUCAUAAACCCAGCUGAAUACAUUGCAGCUGCCACCACAGUUAAUCAAGUUAUUUGAUUGGGAAAAAUUUUUAAAAAGACUUGGGACAAGAACAACCAGAGUCAGCUCAAAUUAAUUGCGGCAGCAUAUCAGCAAUAAAAGAGUAGAAAUCAAGUGCGGAAGUGAAUGUUACAGUUCUACUUAAUGAUCUCCAAAAGCACAACAGUUUAAUGUCUUCAAACCUUUUUUUUUUCAAAAAAUCAUAAUAGAUAUGUAGUUAUGGUUUUAAGAGCCACCAAUUACAAGUCACCCAACAACAAAGAUUUGUGUUUUUUUAGCAAAAAUCAAAAUAAUUUGCAUGAGUGAAAUAUUCUCUCAGCUAACUGAGCACAAGCUAGGAAAAUUAGAAGUUGAUUUUGCGUCAAGGAUGUUAUUGGUCAACAAUGAAAACGGACUGUUAUA